This 394-nucleotide ribosomal RNA is filed under the name uncultured bacterium. Its description in RNAcentral is "partial 16S ribosomal RNA". It matches the Rfam family "Bacterial small subunit ribosomal RNA", at positions 523 to 918 of the family's 1533-position model. The record is from RNAcentral.
AUACGUAGGGGGCGAGCGUUGUCCGGAAUGAUUGGGCGUAAAGGGCGCGUAGGCGGCCCGGUAAGUCUGGAGUGAAAGUCCUGUUUUUAAGAUGGGAAUUGCUUUGGAUACUGUCGGGCUUGAGUGCAGGAGAGGUAAGUGGAAUUCCCAGUGUAGCGGUGAAAUGCGUAGAGAUUGGGAGGAACACCAGUGGCGAAGGCGACUUACUGGACUGUAACUGACGCUGAGGCGCGAAAGUGUGGGGAGCAAACAGGAUUAGAUACCCUGGUAGUCCACACUGUAAACGAUGGACACCCGCGGUUUGGCCUGUAUGGCUGAGCCGCCAAGCGGAAGCGUUAAGUGUCCCACCUGGGGAGUACGCCGGCAACGGUGAAACUCAAAUGAAUUGACGGGG